Molecule: long non-coding RNA, 3035 nt
Filed under: Nicotiana benthamiana
Lineage: Eukaryota; Viridiplantae; Streptophyta; Magnoliopsida; Solanales; Solanaceae
Description: long non-coding RNA (NBEN_LNC038974)
Source: RNAcentral
AGGGAUUAAGCAAGAACUAACAAAUCUACCCCGGGCUCUUGCUAAUUCAAUCAUACAUGAACAGUUAUACUCAAAGGGCAUUCAAUAGUUCCCGAGUAAAUUUUAACACCAUUAGGACACAACUUGCCCAACACAUGUCUUACAAAAUCUACAUCCCGAUCAUUCAUAAAUUUCUUGGUUUCACUAUCAUCAGUGUUUCUCAAGUUAAAAAUAAUAUUUAUAAAUUCAGCAUCAAAGCGAAUGAUUUUACCUCUCACGGUUGAAGUAUGACUUACUGGAUUAAGAUUGUUGUAGAGCUCCAAGACUAUGUCUCGAUUGUAGUUUCCCGGGAACUGAACACAAGACCUCCACCCAAAAGCAUUGACUGUUUGUAAAAUUUCUUGUGCCUUCGAACCAUCCGAAGGGAAAAGCAACAUCUCAUAUUAUUCAACUACUCUCCAAUUUGCCGCUCUAAGUCUCCAUGAUUCCGGGUCAAGGAUUUCCUUCUAGAGUUCUUUGAGUUAUUUGAAAGAGUUACUUGUGCAAUAUUUAUUUAUUUUUUUUAUAUUUUUUUCAGGUGAAAAUUAAGCAUCUAACCAGAUUUGUGCUUUUGGAAAAUUUAACAGAGAAGAAACAAAGAGGUGUAAAGAUAGUGAAAAUCAUUGAAGAUAAGGAAAAGAGAAAAAAGAAAUUCUUUCUUUUUCUUAUGUGAAAGCCAUGGCUGAGAAAUUACAGAGAUAUGUGAGGUACUGUAAAAUGGGGGUUGAAGCAAGAGAAAGGAAGGGGUUUUCCGUUACUGUGGAAUUGUUUGUUUUGUUUGUGGGAGAUAAAAAAGUGAGGUUAAAACCUCUUAUUUAUUUACUGUAACAACCCGAUCGGUCAUUUAGAGGUUUUGUACUUUGAUCACCAGUUCUCAGGUAUGACUUGCCACGUAUGAUGUAUUAUGAGUGAUCUAAAUCGUUGGUUUUGGUUUUUACAGAAAUCAGUAAGAAUCUGAAAGAACUGUCUCAGUUGAAAGCUUUGAAUUUAAAAGGUUUGACCAAGAUUUGACAUAUAUGUAUAUGAGCUCGGAUCAGAAUUCUUAUAAUUUGGUUAGCUUCGUUAAGCGAUUUAUGACUUAGGAGUGUGAUCAUAAUUGGUUUGGGAGGUCGAGAGUAGAUUUUGACGAUUUUCGGUUGGUAAGGGAAAUUUUUGAUCCGGGAGUCAGAAUGGAAUUCCUAGAGUUGCAGUAUCUUCGUUAUGUCAUUUGGGGUGUGUGCGCAAAAUUUCAGGUCAUUCGGAUGUGUUUGGUUGGGUUUUUAAUCGAAAGCGUAUUUCAGACGUUUUUGGAAAAUUUAGACUAGAAUUCGAUGAGUUUUGGGUGGUUUGAUAUUGUUUGAGGUACUUUGAUGAUUGGAACAAGUUUGAAUAAGGUUUUAGGAUGUGUUGGUGGCAUUGGUUGAGGUCCUGGGGUCUCGGGUGAGUUCUGGGAGGUCAAUUGGAUCAUUUUUGGAGUUGACAAUUGCAGAAAAAUCAGCCCUGCUGUUGUAGGUAUUUUGGCCUUCGCGUUCACGAAGGGAAGCUCACAUUCGCAAAAGGCUGGGUUCUUGAAGCUACACGUUCACGAAGGGUUCAUCUGGAUGUUCAUUAUGCUGGCAUUAUGGUUUAUGCGAUCGAGUAUAGGGAAUUUAGUCCUAGGAGAAUUUCUCAUCGCAUUCGCUGUUGAUGUGAAAAUUUUUGAGUUUUGAGAAGUGGGACCGGGGCUCAAGUUUUACUAGUUUUGAGAUUUUUGAUAUUUUUCGAUUGUUUUUGCUUGGGCUUUGUUUCCUUGGCAUAUUAUGAUGUAUUCGUUCUGGUUUUGCAUAGAUUCGACGCGCGUGGAGGACGAAUCGAGGGGCAAGGCAUCAUGAGCUAGAGAUUUCAUCGAUUCAAGGUGAGUAAUGAUUGUAAAUGAUAUCUUGAGGGUUUGAAACCCAAUAUUUGCACAUCGUAGUGCGGUAGUGAGGUAAGGCACGCUCUUGAUGAUGAGCGUGGGGUCGUUUAUUAUUGGAGAUUGUGACUUGCUCCGUCCCGAUUGAUUAUUUUACCACGUAUUCGACUGUAACUCAUUUGUUAUCAUCAUGAUUUGUAUUGAUUGUCAUGUUUGGGCUUCGUGCCAACUAGUUGGACUCUCCAGGGAUUUUAUCACUAUUUCCUUAAUGUUUUGACUUACUACUUGAACUCAGUCGUACCGUUUUCCUCUAUUUUACAAGUCAGCCACUUUUACUCGAUUUUGUAACUAAAAUGAUAUAUUAAAUAAUAUUUGGGCUGAGAACUACUGUUUUACUAAUGUCCGAGGGGCUUAUGUGAUUGCUGGACUAAGUAUGGCCGAGGGCUAGAUGUGAGGAUACUAUGGGAUCGGGUUGCGCGCCACAACAGUGUUAUACUGAUACUGACAUAAGGCCGAUGGCCUAGAUUUGAUGCCACAAGAUGGCUUCAUAUUGCGCUUGGGCCGUAAGGGGCCCCUCCCUGGGUUUGCACACCCCUAAUGAGCGCCAUCGAUGCGAUUUAUAGAUCAUGAUGAAUGUAGUAGCGAUGUAUGGAUAAGGCUUCACGUUGCAGCGGCGCUGAUGCUAUUCUAUGUGUUACUUUAUUUCAUUUGCCUGCUAUUAUAUGUUGUUUGGGCUACUUUAUGUGAACCUACCUGAUUGCCUAGCAUUAUAUGUUAAUAGAGUGUUUGUGCCCUAGGGGUAGAUUUUUGUGCUUAUCUGCACUAUUUUUUGCAUUCAUUUGCGUAACCGUUGAAAAAGUCAUUUUCAAAGAGGUUUAAACUGAGCUAAGAUAGUUUCUAAAGAGUUCACUGCUUCACUGCUUUUCUCAAAAGGGUUUUACACUACUCUAUAUAGCAUGAUGGUCUAUCUUACGUGAUUUCUUACUGCUCAGUUAUUAUUUACCUUUAUUACUCACUGAAUUGGAGUACUCACUUUACUCCUUGCACCUCGUGUGCAGAUGCAGGUGUUUGUUCGCCCGAUAGCGGGUUCUAAGCUGAUCAGAGGCUAAGUUAUCCGAGUUUAGCGAGGUGAAUGCCAGCGUUCGAA